This 68-nucleotide transfer RNA is filed under the name Marmota monax (woodchuck). Its description in RNAcentral is "tRNA.Val". Lineage: Eukaryota; Metazoa; Chordata; Mammalia; Rodentia; Sciuridae. The record is from RNAcentral.
GUUAUAGUUCAGUGGUAGAACACUUGCCUCACAUGCGUGAGGUACAGGGUUUGAUCCUCAGUACCACA